RNAcentral lists this ribosomal RNA (497 nucleotides) under uncultured bacterium. RNAcentral describes it as "partial 16S ribosomal RNA". It matches the Rfam family "Bacterial small subunit ribosomal RNA", at positions 28 to 507 of the family's 1533-position model. The record is from RNAcentral.
GAUGAACGCUGGCGGCGUGCCUAAUACAUGCAAGUCGAGCGAACAGACGAGGAGCUUGCUCCUCUGACGUUAGCGGCGGACGGGUGAGUAACACGUGGAGAACCUACCUAUAAGACUGGGAUAACUUCGUGAAACCGGAGCUAAUACCGGAUAAUAUAUUCAACCGCAUGGUUCAAUAGUGAAAGACGGUUUUGCUGUCACUUAUAGAUGGAUCCGCGCCGCAUUAGCUAGUUGGUAAGGUAACGGCUUACCAAGGCAACGAUGCGUAGCCGACCUGAGAGGGUGAUCGGCCACACUGGAACUGAGACACGGUCCAGACUCCUACGGGAGGCAGCAGUAGGGAAUCUUCCGCAAUGGGCGAAAGCCUGACGGAGCAACGCCGCGUGAGUGAUGAAGGUCUUCGGAUCGUAAAACUCUGUUAUUAGGGAAGAACAAAUGUGUAAGUAACUAUGCACGUCUUGACGGUACCUAAUCAGAAAGCCACGGCUAACUACGUG